GUUCGAUCUACGUAUUUUAAAAAAUUGCUUGACAAUCGGUAGCUACUGAAAGACCUAUAUCAUUGGAAAUUUCGCGAAUUCCGUAACUCGGAGAUUUUUCCAUAAGCACUGAUUCAUACUGGACAAACAUUGAAGUUGCCUAGUUCUUCGCGAUACGGUUCAACUUUCAACUACCAUCCCUUCGUUAUGCUGAAAAAUUCGUAUAAGGCUUUCAAUCAGUCAUCACUGUGCCUAGUUCAUCGCAGUACUUAUUCAACUUCCAACCACGAAGGGCAGGCGUUGCAUGGCAUUGCACAAUUCGUUUACAGAUCCAUCUCUACCGGAACGGGAUGGAGAGGAGUGGAUCUUUGGAGAGACUCGUUGAUGUCCUGA
Molecule: unclassified non-coding RNA, 372 nt
Filed under: Athalia rosae (coleseed sawfly)
Lineage: Eukaryota; Metazoa; Arthropoda; Insecta; Hymenoptera; Athaliidae
Description: misc RNA ENSAEAG00005010204.1
Source: RNAcentral